RNAcentral lists this ribosomal RNA (471 nucleotides) under uncultured bacterium. RNAcentral describes it as "partial 16S ribosomal RNA". It matches the Rfam family "Bacterial small subunit ribosomal RNA", at positions 36 to 538 of the family's 1533-position model. The record is from RNAcentral.
AACGAACGCUGGCGGCAGGCUUAACACAUGCAAGUCGAGCGCCCCGCAAGGGGAGCGGCAGACGGGUGAGUAACGCGUGGGAACGUACCUUUUGGUUCGGAACAACUCCGGGAAACUGGAGCUAAUACCGGAUAAGCCCUAACGGGGAAAGAUUUAUCGCCGAAAGAUCGGCCCGCGUCUGAUUAGCUAGUUGGUGAGGUAACGGCUCACCAAGGCGACGAUCAGUAGCUGGUCUGAGAGGAUGAUCAGCCACACUGGGACUGAGACACGGCCCAGACUCGACGGGGGGGGAGGAGGGAGGAGUAGUGGCGAGGGCGCGGCAGCUGUCGCCAGUCAGGCCGCGUGGGAUUUUAAGUUCUUGUGUGAUUAAAGUCCUUUGGUCGGGGCAGAUAACUACCUUACCAGAAGAAGACCGCCGGGUUGUCUGCGUGUCACGAGCCGAAGUACUAAUCCGAAGACCAAUGUCUGACC